AAUAGCCUAACGGCUGAACCAGCAACUUGAAGGAAUGUAUAGCGAAAACUAGUUGUGCUUAAUUUAGAGAAAGCUAAUGUGUGCAAUAUUGACUACGUCAAAUAAAGUUCUGGGUGGAAUAUGAUGGUGACAUAUUCUAUCUAUGUGUCUUGACCAAAUUACGUGCCAGCAGUCGCGGUAACACGUAAAAGACUAGUGUUAUUCAUCUUUAAUAGGUUUAAAGGGUACCUAGACAGCCUAUCAAGCCCCCCUAAAAUGGUACUAAUAGGCUAGAGUUUAAUGUAAGGAGGCAUUAAAGUACUGAGAAUGUAGAGAAAUGAAAUUCUGUGAUACUAUAUAUGGCACUGGCAGAGGCGAAAGCAUCUUAUUAUGUAAAAACUGACGUUGAGGGACGAAGGCUGUGUGUAGCAAAAAGGAUUAGGUACCCAAGUAGUCUCAGCAGAAAAUGAUGAAUGUCAUAGGAUAGAUUAAUUUUUGUACUAUAAAUGAAAGUGUAAGCAUUCCACCUUAAGAGUAAUUUGGCAACAUUGGAACUGAAAUCAUUAGACCGUUUCUGAAACAAGUAGUGAAGUAUGUUGUUUAAUUUGAUGGUCCGCAAAAAACCUUACCACAAUUUGAAUAUAAAAAUUUUUAUACAAGCGCUGCACGGUUGUCUUCAGUUAAUGUCGUGAGAUUCUGGUUAGUUCCAUUAAAUUAACGUAAACCCUUACUUUAUUUUUUAAUAGAGUUGUUCACCGCUAUAUUGGAUGUGAUAACAGGGACUAAGACAAGUCAUCAUGGCCUUAAUAUU
This 790-nucleotide ribosomal RNA is filed under the name Thelomma mammosum. Its description in RNAcentral is "mitochondrial SSU rRNA". It matches the Rfam family "Bacterial small subunit ribosomal RNA", at positions 370 to 1208 of the family's 1533-position model. The record is from RNAcentral. Lineage: Eukaryota; Fungi; Ascomycota; Lecanoromycetes; Caliciales; Caliciaceae.